This 72-nucleotide transfer RNA is filed under the name Cavia porcellus (domestic guinea pig). It matches the Rfam family "tRNA". Rfam says of the family: Transfer RNA (tRNA) molecules are approximately 80 nucleotides in length. Lineage: Eukaryota; Metazoa; Chordata; Mammalia; Rodentia; Caviidae. The record is from Rfam by way of RNAcentral.
UGGGGUGCAGCUCAGUGGCAGAGUGUACACUUAGUAUAUGUGAGGCCCUGGGUUCAACCCCCAGCAUUUUUG